This 206-nucleotide ribosomal RNA is filed under the name uncultured bacterium. RNAcentral's name for it is "partial 16S ribosomal RNA". It matches the Rfam family "Bacterial small subunit ribosomal RNA", at positions 568 to 774 of the family's 1533-position model. The record is from RNAcentral.
UGCGUAGGUGGUUUCUUAAGUCCGGAGUGAAAAUGCGGGGCUCAACCCCGUAUGGCUCUGGAUACUGGAAGACUUGAGUGCAGGAGAGGAAAGGGGAAUUCCCAGUGUAGCGGUGAAAUGCGUAGAUAUUGGGAGGAACACCAGUGGCGAAGGCGCCUUUCUGGACUGUGUCUGACGCUGAGAUGCGAAAGCCAGGGUAGCGAACG